RNAcentral lists this long non-coding RNA (3008 nucleotides) under Triticum aestivum (bread wheat). RNAcentral's name for it is "long non-coding RNA (TAES_LNC004286)". Lineage: Eukaryota; Viridiplantae; Streptophyta; Magnoliopsida; Poales; Poaceae. The record is from RNAcentral.
UCUAGCUUGUAUUCGAAAGGCCAAAGUCGGUCUUUAUUAAGAUAAGUAAAGAUAUUUUUUACAUGAACCACCAUCCUGUGAGCACCAGAAGACAAAUAGCUAGUCAGGGCACUGGCCGAGCCAGUGACAAGCCCAGCACAGACAUGCAUCACCUGUAAGCCAACUAAAAACCCACGAUAGUGGCGAAGCAACCCGCCUCCCACCAGGCUCUCAGGUCGUAGAUCAUCAUGCUCACCACUCCAGCCGGAUCUCUAGCUUGUACCGCUUCCAAUUUGGUUAAAUUGCAUUUGCUUAGCUUACACAUUAUACCUUUGAAUAUGACAUGCCUUCCUGUUUUUGGUACAUACUAGUACAUCUGUCUAUUAACCAUGUUCUUACAUCAAACUAAUGUUCUGGUGUAUCCCUCAUCAAUCACUUAUGAUGAGGCAGUCAGGCCAGUGGACCUGUGGCACCCCGGCUCAGAGAAAACCGGAAUGCCCCGUAUUCCAGCCCAGAGAUUGAGGAGAAGUCUUCUGGAAUAUGGCACUGCUCAGCAUAGAACAAACCAGCUUUCCAUUAUUACACGAAUAUGAAUACAAGGUCUCCGAUAUUACAAUGAAUAACAUCGGUACGACGACACUACGCCAUCCUCAGUUGCUCUAUGCAAGCAGCAGAACAACUCAAAGCAGCGGAAUAACUCUAGCAGCGGAACAACAACGAUGGUGGUGAACUCCACUUUGCAGGGACUCUGGCUGGAACGCUUAUCCUAGCUUGCAUGAACGGAAACUAUGAUAAGCAAGCAAUCAAAUCCGGCAUGACCUGCAAACUGGCAUGACACGCCAGGUCAGUACAUUGAAUGUACUUGCAAGCUCACAAUAAACCAGAAGCAUUCAAGACAGACAACAGCAUGGUAAUUACAGGUUAAACAGGAAUUAACAUGAUAUCAUCAGAAUAACAUGGCAUGACCAUCAUAAACAUGAUACAGCUAACUCAGCAUGAACAUAUUAAUCCGACAAUACUAGCAUGCAACAUGUUGACACCAUAUGCACCACUUAUUCUGUUCGAUUACCUCGUAACCAACAUAUGCAUCACUUACCAACCUCGGACAUCACACAAUCAUCUUAGGAUCAAAUCAAGCUUGGUAUAAACAAUACCGUAGUAAUAAAUAAGCGACCACAAGGAGCUUGAUCUUUACCCAUGAUUCUCGUAAUACAUCACGAAUAUACAACAACUUGGUAUCCUCAAUACCAUCGUGAUCCUUACGGCGAUCACAACCACGACCAACGAUGGGUCCCAAACCGUGAUCCUUACGACGAUCACAACCCGACCAACACUUGGCCCGUGAUCCUUACGGCGAUCACCACCCGACCAAUACAUGUCUCGUCUUGUUAUUAUUAAGCACAUUAUUCUUAUUACUGUUGACUCAUGGUGUGACCUUCUCUCGACCUGGGCCCUUAUCCGCGGGCACGGCUAUCGAUAGAUUUAAUAUACACUCUGCAGAGGUUAGUACACUGUACCCACACUACAGCACCCGUGGCCUCGCACUCCCAUUCGGGUGGACAAACGACGUUCCGACAAAACCGAUCUACUGCCAAGACACUCUCCCGGCCACUCCGACUCACUCCUCACUAAGCUAAGUCAUGGGUGGCCCCGAGCCUACCCCCAGACACAACGACCACCGUCGUGGCCCAAAACAUAAACGAUCCCACACGGGGAUCCGCCGGCUAUAACAACUACGGGAACACAAGGUUAUUCUCCGCCUACCUGAUCAGGGUAGCACGUGACCAUAACCUUCCCUCGUUGGAGGCACCGGUGAGAGGCACAACAAUAGACCCAGUUAGGACCGUCCCAUACCGGUAAGCGUGGUUGCACUGGUCAGCAUCGAUUCAGCGGCAUCAUGACUCAGCCAACACAUGUUCAAGUUCAAUUUAAUCCGGUUAACUUGAAUGCAAAUAUGCUGAGCCAUGAUAAAAUAACAUGAUGCCAACUAUAGAACAUGAACAUGAUAUCAACAUCAUCAUGAGAGUAUCACAUAACUUUCCACCAUACCAACAAUAACUCAUAUCCACUGAGCAUCGCAUACUGACUAGCAUGACCGUCUCCAACAUCAACAUGUAAUACUACCAAGCAUAAACAUAUGAAAGGUAAUACUAGCAGGUAUAACAUGAUCACAAAGUAUAAGACAACAUAGCACAAAAGCGAACAUGCAAAUCUGAGCAUCACCGGAACAACGAUAACCAUUUUUUUCAACAAGCAAACAUUAAUAAAGAUUCAAGUUGAAAACCAUGGCUACUGCAUGACUAUCAUGCAAGUGGGUAUUGUGGCUUGCCUGGGGAUGAAUAAGGCACCGGGAAGAAGUGCGGUGAAGCCACGGAACGAAUCGCCGGAAAACGUUCUGUCUCGGAGGGGGCUGAUUAAGGGCAGGGGCAAAAUGGUCAUUUUCAGUAUGCCAAAACAUAAUGAAAGUGACACCAACAGAAAGGGCUCGACGAAACAAAAAAGUGGGCGUUAGUUUCACCUCAUUCGGAGUUACGGAUAAAAAGAUAUGAGGGGUUGAAGUUCAGGGACUUUUCUGCAAAAAUUCCAUCACAAAUAAGUCCCUGAGUGGAUAAGACAGAAGCGUAAAAUGGGAAAUACACUUUCGGAAAGCAAAGACGUAAUCAGUGAAUUACGCCUCCACUUAUCCACGUCACCGUACCUAGGUCAACGCGGGGCUGGCGGUUGUGAGGCUGACUGGCGGGGCCCGCAGGAAGGUGGGACCCGCCACUUAUCCACGCUGGCAACGGGGUCAACGCCCGUCUCACUGCCAGCGGGGCCCACCGGAUCUCUCUCUCUCCCCUCCUCGCUCCUUCCCUUCUUCCUCCCGACGCCGGCUCCAGAACAGAGGAGGCCGCAUGCUCCGGCGAGGUGCCCGGGCGGCACAGGCCACCGUUCGAGGCGCUCCGGCCACCGGGGUGCUCGGGGAGGAACGGCGCGUCCAUCCAGGCGGCAUACGGAGGGUGGGGAAGUCAGGGGAGCGCGUGAUCUAG